RNAcentral lists this ribosomal RNA (433 nucleotides) under uncultured bacterium. RNAcentral describes it as "partial 16S ribosomal RNA". It matches the Rfam family "Bacterial small subunit ribosomal RNA", at positions 29 to 507 of the family's 1533-position model. The record is from RNAcentral.
AACGAACGCUGGCGGCAUGCCUAACACAUGCAAGUCGAACGAGACCUUCGGGUCUAGUGGCGCACGGGUGCGUAACGCGUGGGAACUAGCCCUUAGGUUCGGAAUAACUCCCCGAAAGGGGUGCUAAUACCGGAUAAUGUCUUCGGACCAAAGAUCUAUUGCCUUUGGAUGGGCCCGCGUUGGUUUAGGUGGUUGGUAGGGUAAAAGCCUACCAAGGCGACGAUCCAUAGCUGGUCUGAGAGGAUGAUCAGCCACACUGGGACUGACACACGGCCCAGACACCUACGGGAGGCGGGAGGAGGGAAUAUUGGACAACGGACGAAAGCCUGAUCCAGCAAUGGCGCGUGAGUGAUGAAGGCCUUAGGGUUGUAAAGCUCUUUUGCCCGGGAUGGUAAUGACAGUACCGGGAGAAUGAACCCCGGCUAACUCCGUG